Molecule: ribosomal RNA, 255 nt
Filed under: uncultured bacterium
Lineage: Bacteria
Description: partial 16S ribosomal RNA
Rfam family: Bacterial small subunit ribosomal RNA
Source: RNAcentral
UACAUGGGGUGCAAACGUUGCUCGGAAUUAUUGGGCGUAAAGCGCACGUAGGCGGUUCGUUAAGUCGGAUGUGAAAGCCCUCGGCUCAACUGAGGAAGUGCACCCGAAACUGGCGAGCUUGAGUACGAAAGAGGAUCGCGGAAUUCCCGGUGUAGAGGUGAAAUUCGUAGAUAGUUCGGAGGAACACCAGUGGCGAAGGCGGCUCACUGGCUCGGUACUGACGCUGAGGUGGCGAAAGCGUGGGGAGCAAACAGG